GUGUCAGCAGCCGCGGUAAUACGGAGGAUGCGAGCGUUAUCCGGAUUCACUGGGUUUAAAGGGUGCGUAGGCGGAUCAGUAAGUCAGGGGUGAAAUCUUACGGCUUAACCGUAAAAUUGCCUUUGAUACUGCUGGUCUUGAGUGCAGUUGAGGUGGGUGGAAUGUGUAAUGUAGCGGUGAAAUGCUUAGAUAUUACACAGAACACCGAUUGCGAAGGCAGCUCACUAAACUGCAACUGACGCUGAGGCACGAAAGCGUGGGGAGCAAACAGGAUUAGAUACCCUGGUAGUCCACGCCCUAAACGGUGGGCACUAGGUGUGGGGCCUUUAAUGGUUCCGUGCCGAAGGGAAACCAAUAAGUGCCCCGCCUGGGAAGUACGGCCGCAAGGUUAAAACUUAAAUGAAUUGACGGGG
RNAcentral lists this ribosomal RNA (413 nucleotides) under uncultured prokaryote. RNAcentral describes it as "bacterial SSU rRNA". It matches the Rfam family "Bacterial small subunit ribosomal RNA", at positions 505 to 918 of the family's 1533-position model. The record is from RNAcentral.